This 253-nucleotide ribosomal RNA is filed under the name uncultured bacterium. RNAcentral's name for it is "partial 16S ribosomal RNA". It matches the Rfam family "Bacterial small subunit ribosomal RNA", at positions 524 to 776 of the family's 1533-position model. The record is from RNAcentral.
UACGAGGGGGGCAAGCGUUGUUCGGAAUUAUUGGGCGUAAAGGGCGCGUAGGCGGUGCGGUAAGUCUGAUGUGAAAUCUCCGGGCUCAACUCGGAGUCUGCAUCAGAAACUGCCGUGCUUGAGUGUGGGAGAGGUGAGUGGAAUUCCCGGUGUAGCGGUGAAAUGCGUAGAUAUCGGAAGGAACACCAGUGGCGAAAGCGGCUUCCUGGUCCAGCACCGACGUUCAGGCACGAAAGCGUGGGGAGCAAACAGG